This is a long non-coding RNA of Onychostoma macrolepis, 615 nucleotides long. RefSeq lists it as uncharacterized. The record is from RefSeq and is a predicted model, not a curated record. NCBI's taxonomy places the organism in Eukaryota, Metazoa, Chordata, Actinopteri, Cypriniformes, Cyprinidae. The transcript has 5 exons.
UCUAAAUAUAGACCCCUCAUACAGUCAGAAAGAAUUUAGGCUGACCAAACGGGAGCCCAGUGUCGCAUCAAGCAGCUGUCAAAGACUGAAAAAGACAACUGUGAACCUUGGACACACUCAGAGAAAACAUAACGGCACACAAGUUUGGACAACAUGAGGGAGUGAAUAGUACCUGUAGCGGUGAGGACACACGUCUUCUUGCAUUGUUCUUCUGUCUGGAAGCGGUUAUCGUUGCCCUGACAGCCUCCGUACCAGAACUGAGCACAAGCGUUUGCCUGUUUGUCGUAGUACCAGCGAAUGACGUAGUCUCUACAGGAGCCCUGACUCAGACUGAGCGAACACCGGGGAUCCAGAGGAGCUGAUUCUGACCAAAAAAGAGAAAGACGAGGCUUUGCAUUUACAUUCACUGAAGUAGAAUGUGUUGAUACUGAUGAAGAUACUGAUGAUGAAGAUGAUGAUGAUGACGAAGAGGUUCCUGGCUGUACAGGUUAAAAAGUCCCACUCACCUUUGGACCAGGCAAACCGUAACCAGUCUCUCCAAUCGGUCCGGGAGGACCAGCGGGACCCACAUCACCCUGAAGACACGAGAAGAUGAAGUCAUAGCAUUACUUCUCU